AUCUGAAGGAAUACCGGUGGCGAAGGCGGCCCCCUGGACAGAUACUGACACUCAGAUGCGAAAGCGUGGGGAGCAAACGAAAGCGUGGGGAGCAAACCUUAUACAUUACCCUGGUAGUCCACGCCGUAAACGAUGUCUACUUGGAGGUUGUGGCCUUGAGCCGUGGCUUUCGGAGCUAACGCGUUAAGUAGACCGCCUGGGGAGUACGGUCGCAAGAUUAAAACUCAAAUGAAUUGACGGGGGCCCGCACAAGCGGUGGAGCAUGUGGUUUAAUUCGAUGCAACGCGAAGAACCUUACCUACUCUUGACAUCCAGAGAACUUUCCAGAGAUGGAUUGGUGCCUUCGGGAACUCUGAGACAGGUGCUGCAUGGCUGUCGUCAGCUCGUGUUGUGAAAUGUUGGGUUAAGUCCCGCAACGAGCGCAACCCUUAUCCUUGUUUGCCAGCGAGUAAUGUCGGGAACUCCAGGGAGACUGCCGGUGAUAAACCGGAGGAAGGUGGGGACGACGUCAAGUCAUCAUGGCCCUUACGAGUAGGGCUACACACGUGCUACAAUGGCGCAUACAGAGGGCGGCCAACUUGCGAAAGUGAGCGAAUCCCAAAAAGUGCGUCGUAGUCCGGAUUGGAGUCUGCAACUCGACUCCAUGAAGUCGGA
RNAcentral lists this ribosomal RNA (654 nucleotides) under Vibrio parahaemolyticus. Its description in RNAcentral is "bacterial SSU rRNA". It matches the Rfam family "Bacterial small subunit ribosomal RNA", at positions 696 to 1330 of the family's 1533-position model. Lineage: Bacteria; Pseudomonadati; Pseudomonadota; Gammaproteobacteria; Vibrionales; Vibrionaceae. The record is from RNAcentral.